GCUCUGGUCGCUCCAUCGGAUAGAGCGUUGGACUUCUAAUCCAAAGGUUGCGGGUUCAAGAUCCGCCCAGAGUA
Molecule: transfer RNA, 74 nt
Filed under: Perkinsus marinus ATCC 50983
Lineage: Eukaryota; Perkinsozoa; Perkinsida; Perkinsidae
Rfam family: tRNA
About the family: Transfer RNA (tRNA) molecules are approximately 80 nucleotides in length. Their secondary structure includes four short double-helical elements and three loops (D, anti-codon, and T loops). Further hydrogen bonds mediate the characteristic L-shaped molecular structure. tRNAs have two regions of fundamental functional importance: the anti-codon, which is responsible for specific mRNA codon recognition, and the 3' end, to which the tRNAs corresponding amino acid is attached (by aminoacyl-tRNA synthetases). tRNAs cope with the degeneracy of the genetic code in two manners: having more than one tRNA (with a specific anti-codon) for a particular amino acid; and 'wobble' base-pairing, i.e. permitting non-standard base-pairing at the 3rd anti-codon position.
Source: Rfam by way of RNAcentral